Molecule: ribosomal RNA, 303 nt
Filed under: uncultured bacterium
Lineage: Bacteria
Description: partial 16S ribosomal RNA
Rfam family: Bacterial small subunit ribosomal RNA
Source: RNAcentral
AGCAGUCGCCGCGGUAAUACGUAGGGUGCGAGCGUUAAUCGGAAUUACUGGGCGUAAAGCGUGCGCAGGCGGUUAUAUAAGACAGAUGUGAAAUCCCCGGGCUCAACCUGGGACCUGCAUUUGUGACUGUAUAGCUAGAGUACGGUAGAGGGGGAUGGAAUUCCGCGUGUAGCAGUGAAAAGCGUAGGUAUGCGGAGGAACACCGAUGGCGAAGGCAAUCCCCUGGACCUGUACUGACGCUCAUGCACGAAAGCGUGGGGAGCAAACAGGAUUAGAUACCCCAGUAGUCCCUGUCUCUUAUAC